RNAcentral lists this ribosomal RNA (813 nucleotides) under Fusarium culmorum. Its description in RNAcentral is "eukaryotic LSU rRNA". It matches the Rfam family "Eukaryotic large subunit ribosomal RNA", at positions 76 to 919 of the family's 3401-position model. RNAcentral also lists the same sequence under 1 other name. Lineage: Eukaryota; Fungi; Ascomycota; Sordariomycetes; Hypocreales; Nectriaceae. The record is from RNAcentral.
UGCCCUAGUAACGGCGAGUGAAGCGGCAACAGCUCAAAUUUGAAAUCUGGCUUUCGGGCCCGAGUUGUAAUUUGUAGAGGAUGAUUUUGAUGCGGUGCCUUCCGAGUUCCCUGGAACGGGACGCCAUAGAGGGUGAGAGCCCCGUCUGGUUGGAUGCCAAAUCUCUGUAAAUCUCCUUCGACGAGUCGAGUAGUUUGGGAAUGCUGCUCUAAAUGGGAGGUAUAUGUCUUCUAAAGCUAAAUACCGGCCAGAGACCGAUAGCGCACAAGUAGAGUGAUCGAAAGAUGAAAAGCACUUUGAAAAGAGAGUUAAAAAGUACGUGAAAUUGUUGAAAGGGAAGCGUUUAUGACCAGACUUGGGCUUGGUUAAUCAUCUGGGGUUCUCUCCAGUGCACUUUUCCAGUCCAGGCCAGCAUCAGUUUUCGCCGGGGGAUAAAGGCUUCGGGAAUGUGGCUCCCCUCGGGGAGUGUUAUAGCCCGUUGUGUAAUACCCUGGUGGGGACUGAGGUUCGCGCUUCUGCAAGGAUGCUGGCGUAAUGGUCAUCAACGACCCGUCUUGAAACACGGACCAAGGAGUCGUCUUCGUAUGCGAGUGUUCGGGUGUCAAACCCCUACGCGUAAUGAAAGUGAACGCAGGUGAGAGCUUCGGCGCAUCAUCGACCGAUCCUGAUGUUCUCGGAUGGAUUUGAGUAAGAGCAUACGGGGCCGGACCCGAAAGAAGGUGAACUAUGCCUGUGUAGGGUGAAGCCAGAGGAAACUCUGGUGGAGGCUCGCAGCGGUUCUGACGUGCAAAUCGAUCGUCAAACAUGGGCAUG